This 24-nucleotide transfer RNA is filed under the name Luffa aegyptiaca (smooth loofah). RNAcentral describes it as "partial tRNA-His". Lineage: Eukaryota; Viridiplantae; Streptophyta; Magnoliopsida; Cucurbitales; Cucurbitaceae. The record is from RNAcentral.
CGGAUGUAGCCAAGUGGAUCARGG